RNAcentral lists this non-coding RNA (45 nucleotides) under Schistosoma margrebowiei. Lineage: Eukaryota; Metazoa; Platyhelminthes; Trematoda; Strigeidida; Schistosomatidae. The record is from RNAcentral.
AUUCAGUUGACGAGUCCCAAUGAGGACGAAACGCUCGUCCUGGAU